Molecule: ribosomal RNA, 262 nt
Filed under: Siganus sutor (shoemaker spinefoot)
Lineage: Eukaryota; Metazoa; Chordata; Actinopteri; Siganidae
Description: partial 12S ribosomal RNA
Rfam family: Microsporidia small subunit ribosomal RNA
Source: RNAcentral
AGGUGUAGCGUAUGGAGGGGGAAGAAAUGGGCUACAUUCCCUGCUACGGGGAAUUACGAACGAUACUCUGAAAUAAGUAUCUAAAGGAGGAUUUAGCAGUAAGCAGAAAAUAGAGCGUUCCGCUGAAACCGGCCCUGAAGCGCGCACACACCGCCCGUCACUCUCCCCGAGCUUACAAACUCAACUAACUAAGACCUAACAACUGCAAAGGGGAGGCAAGUCGUAACAUGGUAAGUGUACCGGAAGGUGCACUUGGAAAAAU